RNAcentral lists this ribosomal RNA (781 nucleotides) under Bacillus zhangzhouensis. Its description in RNAcentral is "bacterial SSU rRNA". It matches the Rfam family "Bacterial small subunit ribosomal RNA", at positions 69 to 834 of the family's 1533-position model. The record is from RNAcentral. Lineage: Bacteria; Bacillati; Bacillota; Bacilli; Caryophanales; Bacillaceae.
ACAGAAGGGAGCUUGCUCCCUGAUGUUAGCGGCGGACGGGUGAGUAACACGUGGGUAACCUGCCUGUAAGACUGGGAUAACUCCGGGAAACCGGAGCUAAUACCGGAUAGUUCCUUGAACCGCAUGGUUCAAGGAUGAAAGACGGUUUCGGCUGUCACUUACAGAUGGACCCGCGGCGCAUUAGCUAGUUGGUGGGGUAAUGGCUCACCAAGGCGACGAUGCGUAGCCGACCUGAGAGGGUGAUCGGCCACACUGGGACUGAGACACGGCCCAGACUCCUACGGGAGGCAGCAGUAGGGAAUCUUCCGCAAUGGACGAAAGUCUGACGGAGCAACGCCGCGUGAGUGAUGAAGGUUUUCGGAUCGUAAAGCUCUGUUGUUAGGGAAGAACAAGUGCGAGAGUAACUGCUCGCACCUUGACGGUACCUAACCAGAAAGCCACGGCUAACUACGUGCCAGCAGCCGCGGUAAUACGUAGGUGGCAAGCGUUGUCCGGAAUUAUUGGGCGUAAAGGGCUCGCAGGCGGUUUCUUAAGUCUGAUGUGAAAGCCCCCGGCUCAACCGGGGAGGGUCAUUGGAAACUGGGAAACUUGAGUGCAGAAGAGGAGAGUGGAAUUCCACGUGUAGCGGUGAAAUGCGUAGAGAUGUGGAGGAACACCAGUGGCGAAGGCGACUCUCUGGUCUGUAACUGACGCUGAGGAGCGAAAGCGUGGGGAGCGAACAGGAUUAGAUACCCUGGUAGUCCACGCCGUAAACGAUGAGUGCUAAGUGUUAGGGGGUUUC